RNAcentral lists this microRNA (23 nucleotides) under Octopus vulgaris (common octopus). Its description in RNAcentral is "Ovu-Mir-12560_3p (mature (guide))". RNAcentral also lists the same sequence under 1 other name. Lineage: Eukaryota; Metazoa; Mollusca; Cephalopoda; Octopoda; Octopodidae. The record is from RNAcentral.
AAACACUUCAACCUUUCUCCUCU